This 161-nucleotide ribosomal RNA is filed under the name Uncultured bacterium OL1_22D. RNAcentral describes it as "partial 16S ribosomal RNA". It matches the Rfam family "Bacterial small subunit ribosomal RNA", at positions 355 to 507 of the family's 1533-position model. The record is from RNAcentral.
UAGGGAAUCUUCCCCAAUGGCCGAAAGCCUGCCCGGAGCAACGCCGCGUGAGUGAUGAAGGUCUUCGGAUCGUAAAACUCUGUUGUCAGGGAAGAACAAACGUGUAAGUAACUGGGCACGUAUUGACGGUACCUGACCAGAAAGUCACGGGUAACCACNUG